Molecule: long non-coding RNA, 3293 nt
Filed under: Salvia miltiorrhiza (redroot sage)
Lineage: Eukaryota; Viridiplantae; Streptophyta; Magnoliopsida; Lamiales; Lamiaceae
Description: long non-coding RNA (SMIL_LNC002440)
Source: RNAcentral
UUACUUUCAUGGCUUCCACUGCUGUCAUAUACUAAUACUAAUAUUCUUUUCCAAAGCAAGAAAAGCUUGACUGAAAAUGAAGCUCAACGAAAAAGUAGGAUUCUCAAAUCAUUCGACCGUGAAUGAACAUUGCGCACAUCCUCAUUAGUCACAAAAGCUAAAGUUGAGUUGAACAAGAAUGAGCUGCAUUUUAGCCUCACCUACACAUCUCUUCUUUUCAAGCAGUUUCUGAUCUCAAACAUGGGUUAUUUCCCCUACAUGUAUGUUAUAUUUUGUGCAAUAAUUCCAACCAUUUUGGGCCAAGUUACAGGUGAGUUCUUCUUCAUUCUAUUACUUCCUUCUUGUUUUAGUGAUAUGAAAUCAUAAUCAAGACUGCUAUGUUUUCAUAAACUAUGUAACGUCUCGAAUUCAUCAUUCGAAGCAUUAAAUCGGAUCAAGAUUUAAAACGAAACACUAUUUAAAGUUAGCAAAGCAUCAACACACGCAGAGUUCAUUAGCAUAGACUGCGGAGGCACAAGCAGCUACACCGACAACAGCACCGGCCUGGCGUGGAUCUCAGACAACGGAAUCCAAGGCGACGGCGUGUCAGUGAGAGUGGGAGAUAUAAAUGGAAACUCACAGCAGCAGUAUCAGACAAGGAGGGAUUUCCCAACACGACAGCAAGAAGUACUGCUACACACUCACCACUGAAGAAAGACGGCGCUACAUUGUCCGCGCCACCUUCUUGUACGGGGCUUCGGUCAGCCAAGGCGCCUACCCCAAGUUCCAGCUCUACCUGGAUACAACAAAAUGGUCGACAGUGACGGUUAUGGAAGCUUCUAGAAUANAAAUAGAGCUUGGGCUAAAUUUUAUCGGCAUAAUUAAUUUUGUGCACUCUUAAUUCUCUUAUUAUCUGUUGAAUUAUUUUUGUGAUAAUUCUCUAUGAGAUGACUGAAUGAUCUGUCUAAAUGUACAAAUAAUUUAUUUGAAACUAUUUUUUAAAAAAGAGUAUCAAAACUAGACUAGACAAAAUCUCUAGGGGGAGUCCCGAGUCCGCAUCCAGUGAUCCGGAGCUUCGCGCGUUGAUCUAACCCAGCCCGUUGUCAUCUCGCCCCAUUUCGUCUCCAGUUAUACUAUAACUUAUAGUAUUACAUAAAUGAUAUUUUUAUAAAUAAUAAAUGAUACUUUUAUAAAAAAAAUACUCCCUCCGUCCCAAACGAAAUGGCCUAUUUCUUUUUAGCGUCGGAGAUUAAGAAAUGUGUAUAAAGUUAUAAAGUAGGUUGGUGUAAAUUAUUAAAUUCUAGGGAGUCCGAGCCGCACCAGUGAUCCGGAGCUUCGCGCAAACAGGUUGUCUUGCCAUUUCGUCUCCAGUUAUACUAUAACUUAAUUACAUAAGAAUUUUAUAAGUAAUAAAUGACUUAAAAAUAUCAUUUAAUGUUAAAAAUAUUAUUUUAUAUCAUAUUUUAUGUAUAGAUGUUAUUUGUUAUUAAAUGAAAGUAUUUAUUAUUGUAAGUGAAUGAGGCGGAGCGGAGCUCAACACAGCAGGCCUGGUCUGGUCGGGUGAAUGCGCGGAGCUCCAAACGGCACAGUACGAACUCCUGUACAAAAGAUCAAUUUUUUUUUUAUGUUUUUUUCCUUAGUUCUUUGUUUCCGGAAAUUAUUUGGGAAAAGAUCUCGACCGUUGAUCUUCAGCCAAGGCUGAGAAGAUGUCAUGUAUCAGCAUCGAUCUUUAUCUUCCUUUUAACCUUCGAUUAUGUAUGAGGUUAUAUGCUCACCAGUCUAAAUUAACUAUUUAAUUCCAGCUAGAGUUUGAGUUUAUAAUCAAUUAUGGUUGUUUGAAUUUUAUUCCAAUUUGACAAUUAAUCCUAGUCCUAAUAUUUUGGGAAGUUUCUUAUUUAUAUCCUUGUAAGACUAAGAAUAUUGCUAUUAAAUUGUAAUGCAUAGUUUUAUAUUUUAAAUGAAUUAAAAUGAUAUCAUUGUCUUAUAAUGCAAAAAUUAAGGACUAUAUAGUCCAUAUCAACGAAUAAUAAAGAGAGCGCAAAUGGGCCAAGUGUUGCUUCAUGCAGCAGAUGAUAUGGUUGUACAGCAGGUUAAGAAGCAUACUUUUUCAAAGUGAGGGACAACUUUGUCCAAAGUGACAACACAAAAAGGAGAUCAUGUUGCCAUCAAAAGCAAAAGUGGUUAAAGCAUAAAAGCAAACAAAAUUUAAAUAAUCUAAUUUUCUACCAUAUUCAUUUUUUUCCCCCAAUCUUGAUUUGUUUUGUUUAUACGCAAAAGAUCUUUUGCAUGGCAUGAGUGUGACCUCUUUUUAGUGCUCCUCAACCUAGGAUAAUAUUUCAUUUCAAAUAUCAUACAAUCUGCCCACACGUAGCCACCCAUGAUGAGAAUUAAUUAAGAAAAUUUAAAACCAUGCACGAACAAUUCAUUAUGUUUAAGCCUUUCUAAUUCUAAACAAAACGAAAAUGUACAUAAUGUUUAUUCUCUGCUCAGAUAAUAGUAGUACUUUUACCUAUCCGCACUUUUGGUAGAGAGAGAGUAUGAUAGUAAAAUCGUUUUCAUAUACUCCCUCCGUCCCAUUAUAAGUGGCUCAAAAAUUUUUCGGCACGAGAAUUAAAGAGAGAUGUAAAUGUGUUAAAAGUGGUAGAAUCCACACUUUUUUAAAGGGUUAAACUUUGUCAUUUGUGAAAAUAGGCCACUUAUAAUGAAACGAUCCAAAAAAGGAAUACAUGUCACUUUAGUGGGAUGGAAGAGUAGUAAAAAGCUAUAGUUGCGAAUAUAGCCAAUCUGAGAGAGCGCGUAAAAUUUAAGCCUAUACAAAAGGGCAUCCAAGGUUGGCAAUGGCAAUUCUAGCAAACAAAAGGAACCCCACUUAGAAUGGCUGCAUUCAUGCUACAUCCUUGUCACAUAAUUAUUAUUUCACCUAAAUAAUUGAGAUAGAAAACAAAUCAAAGUAAAUAAAAGGUAAUAUCUUACUUUCAUGGCUUCCACUGCUGUCAUAUACUAAUACUAAUAUUCUUUUCCAAAGCAAGAAAAGCUUGACUGAAAAUGAAGCUCAACGAAAAAGUAGGAUUCUCAAAUCAUUCGACCGUGAAUGAACAUUGCGCACAUCCUCAUUAGUCACAAAAGCUAAAGUUGAGUAACAAGAAUGAGCUGCAUUUUAGCCUCACCUACACAUCUCUUCUUUAUUCCUUGAUCCACAAAAUUCAAGCAGUUUCUGAUCUCAAACAUGGGUUAUUUCCCCUACAUGUAUGUUAUAUUUUGUGUAAUAAUUCCAACCAUUUUGGGCCAAGUUACAGGUGAGUUCUUCUUCAUUC